AAACUGCUUGUCGAGAAAGAACGUCAUCUGCCUCAUACAUUUUAGCUUUAGCCACAAUUAGCUAGUCGUUCAAAUCACAGAUAGCCUUACAUUUUGAAACGACUGUUGUUCGUUAACAACCACGUAGCGGUUGUUAUUUUUUGCGCGUCCUGUGUCUACAGUGCCAAACAUGUAUGUAGAAGCCUUAUUCCGACGCAGGGACAUACUGAAAGCCGAGCUGGUCGUGUGAAAUGCAGGCUAGCCUGAUCAGAGCUAGCUGACGAGCAAAGGGGGGCCGAGAAGCGAAAGUGGCUAACCUUAACGAGAGAUAAGCCUAUCACAACACGCCUGGGUACUUUUAACAAACCUGCCAACUGAAGCCACAAGACAAGGACCGAUAUAGCAAGUUCGUAAAGAGACAGAGCCAUGGGUGCGUUCCUGGACAAGCCCAAGACGGAGAAGCACAACUUACACGGCGAGGGAAAUGGCCUUCGCUUCGGACUCAGCUCCAUGCAGGGCUGGCGGGUGGAGAUGGAGGACGCUCAUACAUCUGUGUUGGAACUUCCUGCUCCUGGAAUGACUGACUGGUCCUUUUUCGCUGUGUACGAUGGUCAUGCUGGAUCAAGGGUCGCCAACUACUGCUCUAAGCACCUUCUAAAACACAUAAUCAGUGCCAGCUUAGAGGCUGGAGCGUCACAAAGCGGUUCAGAUAGCUCCAACAACGACCACCCAGCCUCAGUUCCUCCUACAGUGGAGGCUGUGAAAGCUGGCAUCCGGACAGGCUUCCUGAGGAUUGAUGAGCACAUGCGUAGCUCCUCUGACCUUCGCAAUGGCAUGGACCGAAGUGGCUCUACAGCAGUGGGAGUCCUCCUGUCCCCGGAUCAUUUCUUCUUCAUUAACUGUGGGGAUUCCCGAGCAGUUUUAUACCGCAAUUCACAUGUGUGCUUCUCCACACUUGACCACAAGCCUUGCAACCCUCGUGAGAGAGAGCGGAUCCAGAAUGCAGGCGGCUCAGUGAUGAUUCAGAGGGUUAACGGGUCACUGGCCGUAUCCCGGGCCUUGGGGGACUACGAUUACAAGUGCGUGGAAGGCAAGGGCCCAACAGAGCAGCUGGUCAGUCCAGAACCGGCUGUGUUUGAGAUGGUUCGGGCCCCAGAACAGGACCAGUUUGUGGUCCUAGCAUGUGAUGGCAUCUGGGAUGUCAUGUCCAACGAGGAGCUGUGCGAGUUUGUGAAAUCUAGACUUGAGGUGUCUGAUGACCUGGAGAGGGUCUGCAAUGAAGUAGUGGACACCUGCCUGCACAAGGGGAGUCGGGAUAACAUGAGUGUUGUGUUAGUGUGUUUGGCCAGCGCUCCCAAAGUGUCAGAGGAAGCCAUGAGGAAAGACGCUGAACUCAACAAAUACCUGGAGUCUCGAGUGGAAGAGAUGCUGUCUCGGCCAGGAGAGGAGGGGUUUCCGGACCUGGUAACAGUGAUGAGGAACCUUUCCACCGACAGUGGCAUGCCCACCCUGCCACCAGGGGGAGGCCUGGCAAGCAAACGCAGUGUUAUUGAAGCAGUUUACAACCGUCUAAACCCAUACAAGGAGGAAGAUGGGUGGUCUCUGAAAACCCGUUAUGAUAUUUUGAAUGAUCCCGUCUGGUGGACCAGACAGCCAAUUUGUGUGUAAGCUUCACUCUCCAAAACCGCAGCCGAUGAAGUAUUUAAAGUGACUUCAGAGAUGGCUGUGAGCUCACCUCACCCUUCCAAAUGGAGCAGAUUUGGAGUGCCACUGGUAGCUUCCCAGCACAACUGCCUGACCCAAACAGAAAAAAAGAAAAGAAAAAAAAACAGGACCACUUUCCACACAAGAUCACAUCCAUAGUCACCUUUUAAUUUCCUCUGGGAUCUUUUUUUAUUUUUCACCCACACUGAGCGAUCAAUCAAAGACGAAAUCCUGCUUUUAAAACAAAACAACACACCCGUUGUGGAGGACUCACAAUCGGUUUCAUUUGUUCUUUUUGUAGAAUACAACAGGGAAAUAAAAAGGAAGAACUGAAGUGAUGUUCUGAGAGCAGUACUACAUAUACCAUAUAGUGAUCAGAGAAGAGGCAAAUGAGCACAGAUUUCUAUUGGCUCUUGUUUUUUAUUGCUUACUUUGUGGUGGUUGUUUUUGUGUUGGAUUGACGGAGACUCUGCUUUGAACGCUUUGGUGCUCGUCUAAGAACUGAGAGAGAGAGAGAGAGGGGGAGAGAGACACAACCCAACAGCUGCUCAGCAAGUCAUUACUAAACCAGCUACUUAUGGAUAAGAUGCUAGACUCAAGCAGUUUGUCUGCUGCAUUUUUUUUGGCAUUAUUUGUUUUGAUUAGUGAACCUCACUGGCAACAUUGGACCGCACCAGCCUCCGACUCCCACCUCUCCAGUUCAGACAGGCUUGGGGUCCAGAACAUUACUGGUACUCAAAAAGAGGCCCCGGAGCAAGCCUCUAAGAACUGAUUUCAAACUCCUGAUGGCCAUCCAAAAAUGCCCCGGAGUUAAACACCUCACAUUCACCUGAGGCUGAACACCUGAACGAGGGGAGCACUCUCAAGAACCGAGUCCGUCUGGCAACAAAGAUUCCAUUUCGGCUCUUCUGUACCGAGUCCAAACUAAAACAGGAUUAGGAAUCCGAUGGAGGCUGUUGACUCUUCUUGCACGUCCCUGCUCACUUUUCUCUCCUCCAGUCUCUCAAAGAAUAUUAUCAAACGUUCUCAUUCUUCCGCUUUGUCUGGCGCUCUUUUUGCUUUCCUUUCCGUUUCAAACACAUGACAGAACAAACUCAGCUGUCAUUUGUAUCAACAGACAUCUCCAGAGUUGUAAGCUUUUCAACCUGUUUGUUGUUUCAGAGAUAGAAAAAAAAAAAAAUUAGAAAUGAUAUAUUAAAUUCCUAUAAAUAUAAAGAUUGAUAUAUA
RNA transcript from Labrus mixtus (cuckoo wrasse), 2910 nucleotides. It is a transcript of the gene named protein phosphatase, Mg2+/Mn2+ dependent, 1Ba, with no coding region annotated. The record is from RefSeq and is a predicted model, not a curated record. Lineage: Eukaryota; Metazoa; Chordata; Actinopteri; Labriformes; Labridae. The transcript is spliced from 7 exons.